RNAcentral lists this ribosomal RNA (484 nucleotides) under uncultured bacterium. Its description in RNAcentral is "partial 16S ribosomal RNA". It matches the Rfam family "Bacterial small subunit ribosomal RNA", at positions 30 to 507 of the family's 1533-position model. The record is from RNAcentral.
AUUGAACGCUGGCGGCAUGCCUUACACAUGCAAGUCGAACGGCAGCGCGGACUUCGGUCUGGCGGCGAGUGGCGAACGGGUGAGUAAUACAUCGGAACGUACCCUGUUGUGGGGGAUAACUAGUCGAAAGAUUAGCUAAUACCGCAUACGACCUGAGGGUGAAAGUGGGGGACCGCAAGGCCUCACGCAGCAGGAGCGGCCGAUGUCUGAUUAGCUAGUUGGUGGGGUAAAGGCCCACCAAGGCGACGAUCAGUAGCUGGUCUGAGAGGACGAUCAGCCACACUAGGACUGGGACACGGCCCAGACUCCUACGGGAGGCAGCAGUGGGGAAUUUUGGACAAUGGGGGCAACCCUGAUCCAGCAAUGCCGCGUGUGUGAAGAAGGCCUUCGGGUUGAAAAGCACUUUUGUCCGGAAAGAAAUCGCGCUGGUUAAUACCUGGCGUGGAUGACGGUACCGGAAGAAUAAGCACCGGCUAACUACGUG